Molecule: ribosomal RNA, 464 nt
Filed under: Vreelandella stevensii
Lineage: Bacteria; Pseudomonadati; Pseudomonadota; Gammaproteobacteria; Oceanospirillales; Halomonadaceae
Description: partial 16S ribosomal RNA
Rfam family: Bacterial small subunit ribosomal RNA
Source: RNAcentral
CCUCGGGGGGCAGCAGUGGGGAAUAUUGGACAAUGGGCGAAAGCCUGAUCCAGCCAUGCCGCGUGUGUGAAGAAGGCCUUCGGGUUGUAAAGCACUUUCAGUGGGGAAGAAAGCCUUGGGGCUAAUACCCUCGAGGAAGGACAUCACCCACAGAAGAAGCACCGGCUAACUCCGAGCCAGCAGCCGCGGUAAUACGGAGGGUGCGAGCGUUAAUCGGAAUUACUGGGCGUAAAGCGCGCGUAGGCGGUCUGAUAAGCCGGUUGUGAAAGCCCCGGGCUCAACCUGGGAACGGCAUCCGGAACUGUCAGGCUAGAGUGCAGGAGAGGAAGGUAGAAUUCCCGGUGUAGCGGUGAAAUGCGUAGAGAUCGGGAAGAAUACCAGUCGCGAAGGCAGCCUUCUAGACUGACACUGACACUGAGGUGCGAAAGCGUGGGUAGCAAACAGGAUUAGAUACCCUAGUAGUC